Long non-coding RNA from Papaver somniferum (opium poppy), 1135 nucleotides. RefSeq lists it as uncharacterized. NCBI's taxonomy places the organism in Eukaryota, Viridiplantae, Streptophyta, Magnoliopsida, Ranunculales, Papaveraceae. The transcript is spliced from 4 exons. The record is from RefSeq and is a predicted model, not a curated record.
CCCUCUCUUCUUCUCUUCAAGACCCAUUUUUCUUCCCUCUCUUCUUCUCGUCAAGAUUUGUUGAUGAAUAACUGAUUAUCUGUACUCCACUGAAGUAAGAAGUUCUAUCAAGAUGAGUGGUGAUGAAAGUGAUUCUGAUUCGAGCAAAAUGAGAAGAUUUCUUAGGUACCCUAGAAGGAGCUUAAGGGUUGAACUAUUCAGCACCAAUAGAUGGACUGUUUAUAAUGAUGUGGAUAUGAAGUUUGGUGGUCUUGAUUGGUUGAUUGAACUUAUUACAUGGGAGAUGCAAAUCAGAGAAACAAAGAUGAUUAAGUUUUGGUUUUCUCCAGAUAAUGUGCCAGAACUAAUUACAAAUGAUAAUGAGUACUUUAACAUGUGGAAGGAUAAUGGUGUUCAACACUUUCUUUUGGAUCAGUUAUAUAUAUAAGUAGUUACAUUAUAUUACUUCUUGUUUAACGCUUUCAUUACAUUUGUAGAUUCUUUUGUAAUUGCUUACACAGGUCAGCCAUCUUCAACUUAGCAGAUCUUUCCUUGGAUUUGGCAGCAAGGAAAACAGCAUCACAGACCCACUGGAAGUCUUGACAUUGGAUGUUGUUGCAUUGCAGGCAUUGAACUGGUGGUUUAUGUCACCACAAGCAAAGAAACACUUAUUGGCAGGAAGCUGAACAUCCAAAGCUUUAACAACAUAUAUUGCAUCUACAAACUAUUCAAAAUAGUUGCAGAUGGAUCAGUUGAAGAACUUCUCACUAGGAUGCUCAGGAGUUUGAGACAACAACAUUCUCCUAACACCAUUACAAGAUAAAUGGAUGGUGGUUUUAUAGCAGACAAAACAUAAUAUGACCGUUCAAAGGUCAUGUUUGGGAUGAACGGUCAUAUUUGGAUGACUUUGAUGAUGUGUACAACUUGCCACGUCAUGGUAAUCUGCCAGGUGGAAGUUGCAAAGAUGACAUGGACAUGUUGCCACUUGUACAAGAUGCCACGUAGGCUAGUGCAGUUAACUACCUAGAGUUAGAUGUCAAGGGCAGGUUUGUCUAUUUUUGGGUGUAAAUACAUGUGACGUGUGCAACGUUUUUUUUUAUUUGAAAAAUUUGGAUGGAAAAUCUUGUAAGAGGAACAUAUUUGUAAUUCUGUUUAA